GACUAUGGACAUACCAUCCUGUACAGGCCUGAUAUCAUCUGUUCUCGUUGAAGCUAAGCAGGGUCGGUUCUGGUUACUUACUUGGAUGGGAGACAGCCUGGGAAUACUGGGCGCUAUAGGCU
This 122-nucleotide ribosomal RNA is filed under the name Macaca nemestrina (pig-tailed macaque). The record is from RNAcentral. Lineage: Eukaryota; Metazoa; Chordata; Mammalia; Primates; Cercopithecidae.